UUGAAAACAAAAAAACCAAGUUCUCUUUUUCCCGUUUUCUUCUACGCCCCCCACCCAAACCCUUUGAUGUACUCUCAAGCCUCAACCUCUCAAGAUUUCCAAUUGGAGUAACUAAUUUAACGCCCUACAAUGCCGACAACACGCUUCACAUCUCAAGUGGUUUUUUUUAUUGGUAUAACCACAAUAUCUCUCUUGUAUUAACCACAUUUUCAUGGCCGAUCCAUGCUUAACCUAAGUUUAUAUCUCGCAUUUUUUGUUUUAUUUAGUUAAUUACAUCUCCCUUUCCUUGAUUUUGUUGAUUAUUUUUCGAUUUGAUUAUGAAUUUGUUGUUUUGUGGAUUGCAAUUGCAGGAGAAUUUGCUUGAUGUUUUUCUAGGGUUUUUGUAGGUGUUUGAUUAAUUGAUGCUCCACCUUCGAGAGCUUGCACUGAUUAUGAUUAUCUUAUCAAGCUCCUUUUAAUCGGCGACAGUAUGGAAUCCAUCCAAACUCAUGCUCACAGUCCACCACCGAAGAGAUAUGCUGUGAUGUAGAUAUUGACAUGAAUGAGAAAACAAAGAUUGGAUCGAGCCAUCAAUGCAUCCAUACGAGUGGAAUUUGACACAGUCUCCUGGAUGGGGGAGAGUCUAUGAUGCUUUUAGUCUCUUGCAGGCUAAGCCUAGUGAUCAGAUUGUCAGUUUCCAAGUUAUGACAAAGUGCAAAUUGACGAAGUAAGAACCGAAUGGGUGCACCGUGUUGUUCAACAAUUGUAUAAUAGCUAGGUUAUGUUGAAUGAACCAAUAAACAUAAGACUAUUAAUUAAUGUAUUUUACGUAGUUUAAUAUUUAGAAUUUUAUUUUAGAUCUAUGUAAUCGGUUUUAUUAGGGUGACAAUUGCAAAAUUUCUUUUAA
This is a long non-coding RNA of Spinacia oleracea (spinach), 886 nucleotides long. RefSeq lists it as uncharacterized. The transcript is spliced from 3 exons. The record is from RefSeq and is a predicted model, not a curated record. Lineage: Eukaryota; Viridiplantae; Streptophyta; Magnoliopsida; Caryophyllales; Amaranthaceae.